GUUCUCUCAGGGCGGUGGUGGCGGAGGCGCGGCAUUCUCCCAGGGCGGUGGCAGCUUGUCGCUCUUGCAUUCGCAGUCGCAGAUCUCCCAGGCCUCCCUCGACGAGAACCUCCUCAGCCCUCGCCAUCCCUCCCCUGCGCGCGAUCAGAGAUUCUCCUUGCAUGAUGACUCGUCGAAGAGGAUGUCUUCAUUUCCAGCCAAUUCAGCUUCUUCUGUGCGUGAUGAAUCUCAGCUGCAAAUGGCAAAAACUUCAAGCAAAGCUAUGCUUCGGUGGAACCCCUCUCUUCCAGAUAGCAAAUAUUAAUGAGGAUGUUGGGCGCAAAUUUCAGCAUGUUGCAAGUUCAGUGCAUAAGAUGGGAAUGGUAUUAGACUCUGUUCAAAAUGAUGUUAUGCAGUUAAACAGAGCCAUGAAGGAGGCAUGACUAGAUUCAGGUAGCAUACAGAAAAAGUUUGUGCUCGUAGAGACCUCUCUCCAGCAAAUUGUAAG
Long non-coding RNA from Lolium rigidum, 487 nucleotides. RefSeq lists it as uncharacterized. The record is from RefSeq and is a predicted model, not a curated record. The transcript is spliced from 4 exons. NCBI's taxonomy places the organism in Eukaryota, Viridiplantae, Streptophyta, Magnoliopsida, Poales, Poaceae.